This is a non-coding RNA of Podarcis lilfordi (Lilford's wall lizard), 75 nucleotides long. The record is from the annotation of a GenBank genome assembly. Lineage: Eukaryota; Metazoa; Chordata; Lepidosauria; Squamata; Lacertidae.
UGGGGAUAGCUCAGUCGGGAGAGCACGGGACUUUUAAUCUCAGGGCUGUGGGUUCAAGCCCUGUGCUGGGCAAAA